Molecule: long non-coding RNA, 1188 nt
Organism: Myodes glareolus (Bank vole)
Lineage: Eukaryota; Metazoa; Chordata; Mammalia; Rodentia; Cricetidae
Source: RefSeq, a predicted model, not a curated record
AGUAGAAAGAGCUGGGAGGAGAGAUACCUGAGAACCAUAGGGACACAGAGAGGAAGGAUGAGCCAGCCAGUCCUCUUCCUCCCUCAACCCCAGACUGAGCAGGUCUUAUGAAGGGAAUCUAAAGCCAAGCAGCGGGGACAUGCCUGAGAGAGCAGCACAGGAGCUGCUGGGUCUGUGAGUCCGAGAGAGAACACUACACAAACAUGCGCUCCCGUAGCAAGGAACGGAAUGAGCAUGCGUGCUUGCCGGAGAGGGUAACAAGUCCUACAGAGACCUGAAAACCAGAGGAAGGGGCCGGGAAAUGCAGAGUCUGCCCAAGGAGUGUGCCUGAAAGCGGGGUCGGCGCGGGAAGCCUUUCUGAGAAGCCUCUUCGGAAAUGAGUGGAGGUGAAGGCGUGACCGUGGGGUUAAGUGUGCGGAGGGAGCUGUGGGAAGAAGGAACAGUUGCUGUAGCAGCCUGAGCAGGUGGACAGAAAGCAAAGGGGCCACAGUGAAGCCUGGAGAGCGAGGAGGAGAGCGAGGCUUGGGGCAGAGGACAGGCGGUAAAGGGAACCUAACCGCGGCCAGUGCAAAGACCUGGCUUUUAUUUCACCCCAAGAGAGCUGUACCCGAGUCAAAAAAGUGAUGGAUUUGGUUCAGCUACGUGCGUGCCAUUCGGGAGAGUCAGAACCUGUUCAUCAAUCCUGGAUCCUCAUCUUGAGCUUCCGAGCUUCCCCUAAGCCCAGAAACCUGAUCUUGGCUGUGCCAUGGGACAUCAGAGAAAGAUGCUGUGGAAUUAGAGGAACCUAGGACUGAGGGACACGGAACUUGGCCCCACAUUACCACCAGACCUCAGUUUCCCAGGGAAGAAGCCACUAGGCAGCUCUUGCCAGUGUUAUCCCCCAAACCCAGGGAAGCUGAGGGAGGGGAUACAGGGAGGGAGAAGGAAGUUCUGCCUCAAUCACUUGCUAGGGGUCCUGUCUCACUCCCCUCUACCUAUGCUGUCUCAGCACCCUCGACCUCAAGACCAGGCUCUUCAGAGGUCCUCCUUGCCUUCUCAAGUCUGCCAUCUAUAGCUUUGGAUGAUGUAAUGCCCAAAGUCUGCCCUCCCACCUUUCCUAAAACUUAGCCUGUAUCCCAUCCAUACCAUCAAGGUAAAUGAGUUUCUCUCAGCCAGACUCUACUCUACCCAAUUUUCUCUGGAUGAAGC